GAGAAACCGUCUUCACUUUUCCUUUCCCUUUCCCUUUCCCUUUCUCUCCCAGGGCACCCCAAAAGCCAUUGAUUAUUCAGUUUUAUAAACAUAGUCGUAACCUUUCGUGCAAGAUCUGUUUGAAGAAGCUAAUAGUUGAACCGUUUGGUGGCCUCUUCACAUGUGAGUUCCUCUAUUUGCCUUAUUUCUUCAUAAAAUUAUAGUAAUUUUUGCUGGUUUAUUACUACCGACAGCCAUCACCCACUGGGAGGCGACAGUCAAGUCCGGUGGCGGCUAGGUGAAUGUUGCUGUCGCUGGCCAACAGUUGUCCGAUGGGAUUAAACUCAUACAGAGGUGGACUCUCCUGGGAAGAAGAAGAUGGCUAAUAUUGCAGCUGUGAUUUCUAAAGUUUCAGAGGCCCUGUGUGCCCUGCAAAACUAGGCACAAAGAGCUGAGAUGAAGGACCAACUCUGGCUGGUAGAGGUUCUUCUAAGAAGAAAAAAAAAGGCCGCAUUAUCCUUCCCGGUAGGGCUGGCUUUGGGAACAAGAACCGGAUUUUAAGGUUAUUUUGAGAAAUCAAGUUAGUUCAUCUUUAAGAUUUCUAAACUUUUAUACUGAUUUCUUCAUUGCAAUGCAUAAGUGGGAUCAUAAAUUCUUGUCAGUUGAUGAAUACAUGUUUGAUUUGUUGAUUUUUUUUUUUUAUUUGUUGAAUUUUACUUUACCAGAGGAUGAUUAUUUUGAUUAGAAUGAGUUAUAAAUAUUUUUACGUUAUGAAUGUUAAUUGAUGCAUAUGUUAAUCAGCAAUAAUCUUCCUUGACAUCCAUUGGUUAUAUGUCAUAAUUUUAAGAAAGGACCACAACAUCCUCAAAAUGUAAGUAUAUAAUUAUUUUUCUCAAAUUUUUCUCCUUUAAAUUGGAAAUAUUGUUCACUAAUCAAGAAUUUGCCCAAUUUAUUCUUAUCUUUCAAGAAAUUAAUAUUUUUUCUUGGCAAUUGUACUUAUGAAUUGAUAUCUAAAUCCUUGAAGGGAAUGAAGAUAAAAUUGCAGAGAAGGAAAUUAUAAACUAUAGGGAAAGCUACAACAAAUCAACGAAAUGGACCUUACAAUAAGAUGUACUCAAGUUCUCCAAUUUUUACAAAAUUAAGCUUAACUUUCAUUUUUUUAACUUUUAUCUUUUUCUCUAAUUGGCAGGUUGAUAAGCUGAAUUAAGGCAUGAAGAAAAUGUUCAUAGAGCUUCAGAGAGGGCUUUCUAUAGACCCUUAGGAACACUACCUUGUCUUCCUCCGUAUCUCCCUCAAAUACUUAAGUAUCGACAUGUUUGGUAUACUAAAGAAGGUAAUCGAGUAUUGUGUACCGAGAAUUUCCUAUUAGUUGAAUUCCACAUUCAUCUAGAUAUGUCUCUCUGCCUUUACUACUACUAUAUUGGAUUUGAUUAGUUUUCGUUUGGCAUAGGCAAAAGGACUAAUGGCGUAAUUGGGAAUUAUUGUUAAGUAAAUUGGAAAUUGGAGACUAAUGACAGGUUCACCAUACUUUAUUGUAAUCAAUCUUAUGAACCUGUGAUUGUGUGGGUGUAAUGUUGUGGACUCUAGAACUUCUAGCUGAAUUGGCUAUUUUGGAAAAUGAGGUUGUUUGACUCAAGGAACAGGUUGUGUAUUUUAGACAAGGUCUCUCUCAGGGAGAUGUUUACAUAGCGUCCCGAACAAAUUCAGAGGAUUCGAUCGGUUCAUUCAAUGAUUCGUUGAUUACUACUACAAGAGCUCAAGAUCUUUAUACCAAAUUUAAGUUAAUUCAGGUUCAUUCUUAUUACCAACUGAAUCCAAGAAAACAUAGAUGAAAUCAUAGAAUCGCAGAUUACACCAUAAACCCUAAAUCACAACAUCAAGGCUUAGAUCUUUCAAUCGAAGGCUCAGACCACACCCAUUUACCAUCACAGAGGCACCGAGACUCAAAACGAACCCUCACAACCCAACACACCAAGGUCACUUCACUGGACUCAAGAAAUCAAACUGCCUACCUUCGGUUGAUCACUCACACAAAGGAGAAUCACACAAGAACACGAUUAUCACAAAGAUAAUCAACCAGAAACCUCACAAAGAGAAGAAGGAAGGGUCACACAGACAAAGGAACUCGAAGGUUCCAAACGGCAGAGAGAAAGAAGAAAAAAUAGAAAGUGACGAUCCAAGAGCCAAACAGGGAGUAAGGAGGAUAUUUAUAGUAAAUAUCAUCAACCGUUGAUCAGCGGGUCAAUCCAACAGUCCAAGAGCGACUAAUGGUGUGUGGGCUGGAUAUUGGGCUCGGUUAAGUGGGCCUUCUAGGUAUAUAUUUAAUGGACCAAGUAAUAAAUCCAAUUUGGGCCUUUUCAUCAUUGCCUAACAGUUGGACUGGAUCAAAUGGCAUCACAGCCCAACAGAUCUCCACCUUGAUGCCAGUGAUCAUACAAGAAGCNAGACAGCUAGAACUUCUAGCUGAAUUGGCUGUUUUGGAAAAUGAGGUUGUUUGACUCGAGGAACAGGUUGUGUAUUUUAGACAAGGUCUCUCUCAGGGAGAUGUUUACAUAGCGUCCCGGACAAAUUCAGAGGAUUCGAUUGGUUCAUUCAAUGAUGCGUUGAUUACUACUACAAGAGCUCAAGAUCUUUAUACCAAAUAGAAGUUAAUUCUGCUUCAUUAUUGCUAAUGCCCUCACAAUCUCUAACUACAUUUGCGUCUAGUCGAAGGUUAUUAUCAUUAGAUGGUGUUUUUAAUGGCACAAGGAAUUGCACAAAGAGGCCAGCAAAUGGAAAGCAAUCUAUAAAUAAAGCUAACAAAUCUUUGGAAGAUCCAUUAGUAAUCAAGGAUAGAUCUUGUUCAAAUUCUGUCAAGAAUAGAGCAAUGCCUCAAUAAAGAGACAUCCUGUGAAGCUUGAAUCAAUAGUAAAAUGUGUAAAUUCCCUGAAAAUGCAGGUAUUUUCUCAUUGGCAAUGUAGAUUAAACAAAUGUAUAUCUAAAGAAGCAAAAACUGAUUUUGAGUAUGAUGAUAUCUUUGCAGUGUAGAACUGUAGAACAGGAAAAGGAGUGGAGGUCUGGUUCUCAUUUGACAAAAUGUUUGAUGCUGAAAACGAGACAAAUAAAAGUAAACUUAGAUUAUUUAGUUUUAGAAAAAUUAGUUUUUCUAUGGUGUAGAUCUUUUUACCCCAUGAUAGUACAUUUUUACUUAACAGGAAGGUUUAGAUUUGAUGCUUCGUGUUUUUCCAACAAUGCACGCUGUGCUGCCAGAAGUCAAAAAUUUUUGCUCUAUGUUGAUGCAAAAGAAGGUCUACUAAUUAUUUUUUCCUUUUGAUUUUUUUGCUACCAACUUCUGUGUUCAAUGUAACAUAGAUUUUGGCAUUGUAAUAUUUAUUUUAAACUUAUAAUAUCCCUUUUUGCAUUUAUGCAAAUGAUAUUCAGCAAGAAUUAUGGUGGAGGACUUAUUGUAUUUGCAACCAGACGUAUUUUCUAGUGGAGUACUGUAACUAUUCCACAAGGGCCAAUUAGAAUGAUAGAGCUCGCUCUUGGUCCUGGCUACCUCCUCCUCUAUGCAUACAACCACCAAUUCACACCCUAUUGAUUUUUCUCCGUGCACAUUUGAUACAUAGUAAAAGACUACCCUGACAACAUGAUAAGAAAAAGUAUAGUCGUUAUUUUUUUCUUGGGAAAUACCACUAUCUAAUUUAACUUACCAUUUUAUUUAUUUAUUCAUUUUUUAUUUUUUGGAGGGGGACGGCUUUAGUCAUUCGGUAUAACCAUUAAGGAAAAUAUUGAGCCAAUUUUGAGACCUUAUGUAUUUUUCAUUGAAAUGUCGAAAUACAUAGGAUUAACCAACAUUCAUAGAAACCGAACCAAGAAAUGCAGAAAAUAAAAGUGCAGAAAUAAUGAACACAAAGGAUUUUUUCCGGCCGAAGCCCCAGAGGUUCAGCACGAGUGCCUAAUCCCCUGUUGAGCAUCCACUAUCAAUGGAUACAGCUCGGUUACACUAUAAUACCCAAAAACCGGCAACAAGAUUACACGAAUGUUCGGUAAAUCACAAGACUAAGCCACGAAGACUUAUCUUCUAUAAGAACCACAAAGAAAACUAUGAAACCACGAAGGAAUCAACCACAGAUCACACAAAUCUCAUAUGCACCGGACUGCUCACAAUGAAUCACACAGAUUCAUAAGAACACUACACAAUAGCACCACUCUCCUUCGAUUUACAGUAUGUAAUAUGCCUCACAAACACUAAAAUCACUGAAAUCACUUAAGAAAUAGAACCCUAGAUCACGAAGAAAAUGGAGUUUCUCACGCAGAGAAAAAGAGAGAAACAACCGGACUUCAAAAAUUAAAAUUUCUCUCAAAAAUUAUAUCAACUGAAGGGUCAGUCACAAGACUUAUAAGUAGAGGUCUCUAGAAUCCAAUCAAACGGCCUCCAUGUUGCCAGGUGUCGUGAUCCAACUCAGUCUCUCCACUAAUGAAGUUGCAAGAUCAAAAACACGACUUCAACAUAUUUUGGAAGCACAAUUUAAUAAGUGUGAGGCAACCGGUUCGAAACUCAACAUUCAUAUUUAUUGAACUUCCAAUAUUAUGUUUUUUGAAAUUUAUAUGCAUUGGAGAAUGAUACUAUAGACCCUCCCUUAAAAUUCCAGCUUGCUAAUUUGAUUAUUUAUUCUAUGUCAACUGGCGGCAGAUUCUACAUUAUUUUUCAAUAGAAAAUAUUUCACAGGCCUCUAUUCUUUUAUCUCAUCUAAUCAAAAGUAGGAACGAGAUGAUAUCCCAUGCAAUGCUUCUUGUUUUUGUGUUAAUUAAUUUUUGUUGAAUUUAAUAUUUUCAGCUUAAAUUGUUGGAAUAUAGUGGUGCCCCUAUUUUUUUUAUUGAAUUGAUUUCUUCAUUUAAUUUAUUUUUUUGUAGAUAUCUCAUCUUUUUUCUCCUUAUUUGAACUUACCAUGUUUGUUUUGUAAUAUAUGAUGCUUGGUAAUCUGAAAAUUAUGAUUAGUACAUGUGUUUAAUAUUCAUUCUCCAUUGCACUAAAACCUUGCAACCGAGGGAGGCAACAGUGCCAGUAACAUGUAUUCCGUCGAAGAAUCUGAUGUUGGUAUACUUUGCUAUAUCUCUUAGCUUACAGGCUUCCAUGGAAUUCUCAAGAAAAGGUAUCUCUUUGGUCUCUCCCUUAAUAUUUGCAUACAUCAAAUAUACUUGCGUUAUUUAUCAACCUUAAGACGAUUUUUAGAAAUUUAUCUCAAUUAAUUAUCUUUGAUGUUCGAAUUAUGAACGUGAAUGCAAGUGUAGAAGCAAGUUCUGAUAUUUUAGUACAAAUGAGGAUACCAGGUACUGAAAUAUUCAGCAAGAGUAUAUGAAUUUUUCUAGGAGAGUGUUUAAAGUUAAGCUUACGUUAACUAAACAUUUGGAAAAAUGAAGUUGUUGAUCCCAUCUGCUGCAGAGUCAUACACUUCAUUAGAUAAAGAAUUUUAAGGGAGAAAAUUUGCUCUUAUUCUUGUAAGCUUAGUAAAUCCUUUUAAAUAUAUAUUUUGAUGUAUAUGAAAAUUGUCAAUUUGGUUAUCAUUUAAAAAUGGUAAAAUCUUUGCGCUUGUUAUUUUUUUGAGAUAUUCCAAUUUUAUUGUAUUUGAAGUGGGUUUGGAUAGAAAUGUUGUACAUUUAACCUCAUUAGGUGUUCCACCAGAGCUAUGCAG
This 5654-nucleotide long non-coding RNA is filed under the name Olea europaea subsp. europaea. Lineage: Eukaryota; Viridiplantae; Streptophyta; Magnoliopsida; Lamiales; Oleaceae. The record is from RNAcentral.